AAAUGGUUUUUAUACAACGCUAAAAUCCAUCAAGAAUCUCCAUACAGAGCAUUACUCAACCUAGAAAAUCAGUCGUCUCUCAAACGUGACAGUAGCAUCACGUAAUAUUACAGGGGUCAAAUCAAACAGUAUAUAUCUUAACGACCCAUAGCUAUAUAAAAAGUGUGAUAUUAUAUGCCUUCAAGAACAUUGGAUCUACAGCUU
Molecule: long non-coding RNA, 204 nt
Filed under: Mytilus galloprovincialis (Mediterranean mussel)
Lineage: Eukaryota; Metazoa; Mollusca; Bivalvia; Mytilida; Mytilidae
Source: RNAcentral